CAGUAGCCGCGGUAACACGUAGGGCGCAAGCGUUGUCCGGAAUUAUUGGGCGUAAAGAGCUCGUAGGCGGUCUGUUGCGUCCGCUGUGAAAACUCGGGGCUUAACCCCGAGCCUGCAGUGGAUACGGGCAGACUAGAGGUAGGUAGGGGAGAAUGGAAUUCCCGGUGUAGCGGUGAAAUGCGCAGAUAUCGGGAGGAACACCGGUGGCGAAGGCGGUUCUCUGGGCCUUACCUGACGCUGAGGCACGAAAGCUAGGGGAGCAAACAGGAUUAGAUACCCCCGUAGUCCCUGUCUCUUAUAC
This 301-nucleotide ribosomal RNA is filed under the name uncultured bacterium. RNAcentral describes it as "partial 16S ribosomal RNA". It matches the Rfam family "Bacterial small subunit ribosomal RNA", at positions 509 to 807 of the family's 1533-position model. The record is from RNAcentral.